UCCUAAUAGGAAAUUUAAGGGCGUAUGGUGGAUGCCUUGGCUUCUGAGAAGCGAUGAAGGACGUUGUGUAGCGACGAUAUGACCGGGGAGCCGCUGAACAGGCUUCGAUCCGGUCGUCUCCGAAUGAGGAAACUCCGUCCGUAGAGAUACGGAUGACGCAGGCGCUUGACGUCUGCGAGCACACCCUGGGAAGUAAAACAUUUCAGUACCAGGAGGAACAUAAAACAAUGCCGGCAUAUGCCGGCGACAUUUCCUUAGUAGCGGCGAGCGAAAGGGAAACAGCCCAAACUCGAUCUUAAUCGUGGGGUAUGUCGCUGUUAAUUCAGCUGACGUACAACGCGAUUAAGAUCGGGGGUAGUAAGGUGAUGGUAUCGCUAUUUAUAGCGGAAAGAGUUACAAAAUCUGUCGUUAGUAGAAUCCGCUGGAAAGCGGAGCCCCAGAGGGUGAUAGCCCCGUAGACGAAAACGGCCAGAUCUCUUUUAUCGUCAUUCUUGAGUACCUCAGGACACGAAUAGCUUGAGGGAAUCCGGCGGAACUAACCGCUAAGGCUAAAUAUUCCAGAAGACCGAUAGUGAACUAGUACCGUGAGGGAAAGGUGAAAAGCAUCCCGGAGAGGGAGGUGAAAUAGAACUGAAACCAUACGCUUACAAGGAGUCGGAGCGGUCCGGGAUAAAACUCGGACCGUCACGGCGUGCCUAUUGAAGAAUGAGCCAACGAGUUGAUGCAUGCUGCGAGGCUAAGGGCUUGAAAGCCCGGAGCCGCAGGGAAACCGAGUGUGAAUAGCGCGAUCCAGUAGUACGCAUCAGACCCGAAGCCGGGUGAGCUUGCCAUGUGCAGGUUGAACCACGUAGAAAUACGUGGGGAGGACCGAACGCUAGAGACGUGCAAUACUCUGCGAUGACAUGUGGUACGGAGUGAUAAGCUCAUCGAACUCGGUAAUAGCUGGUUCUCUCCGAAAUAUGUUUAGGCAUAGCGUCGUAUGUUCCCAGAGGGGGUAGAGCACUGGAAGAUCUCGACAGGUCGAAAGAUCGCGAGACCUAUCAAACUCCGAAUACCUCUGGUUAAAAGCACGGCAGUAAGUCCGUGGGGGCUAAGCUCCACAGGACAAAAGGGAAACAGCCCGAAUCUCAACUUAAGGUCCCAAAAUCCAUGCUAAGUACAAGGGAGGUGGUGGAUCUUCUCUGACGGUGAGGAUGUUGGCUUAGAAGCAGCCAUCAUUUAAAGAAAGCGUAACAGCUCACUCACUUAGAGGGUCUGCGCCGCAGAUGAUCGGGGUUAAAGCACGGUACCGAAAUUGAGGGCUGGACGUCGCUUCGGCGAUGUCCUGCGGUAGGAGAGUAUUCUCUUCGCGAUGAAGGCAAAGGGGCGACCCAUGCUGGAGCGUAGAGAAGCAAGAAUGUUGGCACAAGUAACCACAAUGCGGGUGAGAUACCCGCACGCCGAAAGAUUAAGGUUUCCUUCGCAAUGGACUUCAGCGAAGGGUUAGUCGGGCCUAAGGGGAUGGCGAAAGCCGUACCUGAUGGACACGCGGUUAAUAUUCCGCGACUCGCACCCGGUGCGAUGGAGUGACGGAGCACAGUAUGCGUAGCCCCUUAUUGGAUUGGGGUGUAUGGCCUAAGGACGGCCGCGAGGAAAAUCCCGCGGCCUGCGUUCAAUCGCGGGUCCAAGGGCAGUAUGCAAGGCAUGGUUCGCCAUGCUGAACUACGCAGAGCGCGCUCUCGAGAAAAACUUCUAAGCAUAACCGGAGGCGAUCCGUACCGAAAACCGAAACAGGUGAUCACGUCGAGAAGACGAAGGCGAACGAGUGAAGGUACUCCAAGGAACUCGGCAAAAAAGCAGCCGUAAGUUAGCGAUAAGGCUUGCCUCUCUUCAUUGAGAGGCCGCAGCUAAAGUCUGCCUGGCGACUGUUUAUCAAAAACACAGCUCCCUGCGAACUCGUAAGAGGAUGUAUAGGGGGUGACACUUGACCAAUGCCAGAAGGUCAACCAUCGGCGGUGCAUGGUCGCAAGAUUGUGUGCUGACUGAUGUAAGCCCUGGUGAAUGUCGGCGGUAACUAUAACCGUCCUAAGGUAGCGCAAUUCCUUGUCAGGUAAGUUCUGACGCGUUGAAUAGUGUAACGUCUGGGCAACUGUCUCGGAGUACAGCUCGGUGAAAAUACAAUACCGGUGAAGAUGCCGGUUACCUGCAGUUAGACGAAAAGACCCUAGAAGCUUUACUACAGCUUGAUAUUGAGCAUACGAUUCUGAUGCGUAGCAUAGAUGUGAGACUUUGAGGGACGCUUUCGGGCAGUCCGGAGUCGCCAGUGAAAUAGCAUCCUUCGGCGUUGUAUGUUCUAACCCCGGCGGCAAAAACGGCGGGAGACAGUAUCUGGUGGGUAGUUUUAGUGGGGCGCUAUCCUCCUAAAAAGUAACGGAGGAGCCUAUUAAGGUCAGCUAGCCGCGAAUGGAAACCGUGGCGAUAGUGUAUGGGCAGAAGCUGGCUUAACUGUAAGACGUACUUGUCGAGCAGAUGCGAAAGCAGAGCUAAGUGAACCGACGGAUCGCAUUAGAUGCGGCCGGAGAUUAUCGGACAAAAGCUACUCUAGGGAUAACAGGCUCGUUCCGCCUAAGAGUUCAUAUCGACGGCGGAGUUCGGCACCUCGAUGUCGGCUCGUCUUAUCCUGGGGCUGGAGAAAACAUACCUUCUCUCCCGGUCGGAAACGAUCGGGUAAUAAACAAGCUCAAAACGGUGAAGGCUUAUUCAUGUGGCCAUGCGGAGUUUCCCGCAGGUCCCAGAUCUGAUACGAUCAGAUACAUGAAGGCUAACGCCGUGGGAAAAAUAAUUGUUGAAGUUGAUUGCGCGUAUCUCGCAGGUCUGAUUGACGGCGAUGGAGCUAUCAUGGCUACUAUCGAGCGUCAUAACGAGAAAAAGUUCGGCUGGAGAGUUCGGGUUGAAAUUAAGAUCACUCAGAAAGGAGCAACCGUAUUGCGAUUUCUGAGUCUGAAGUAUCGCGUAGGCAGAGUGGUCGCAAAUCGUACUACGUACGAUUGGAUAAUUCGCGAUCAGGAUGAUGUUCGCACGGUACUUGGUCUUAUAUCCUCGUAUUCCUUGGCCAAGAAAAGGCAGAUACAGAUGGCUCUCGCUAUUCUCGAUAUAAAGAUCGAGAGCAGAGCACAAAUGGUCUCUGUCGCGCAGUUGGCGGAUUCAUUGUCGGCAUAUAACGUCAGGUCGAAAGGCCGGCGUAAAAAUCAUGCGGCAAUGGUCAAAGCGAGUAUUUCCCCUAACGACUGAUUCUGCUGCAACCAAUAGGGUUGGCAGAUGAGAUAUGCGCGCCUCGGCGCGGUAUCACACGGCUUGCACCUACUUCCUUCUCGGUGACGAGAAACGAAACGGUGAUGGAAUAGUCUGAUACUUGCGGUAACGCAAGAUAACAAACAACAGAGGUCCCAAGGGUUUGGCUGUUCGCCAAUUAAAAAGGCACGUGAGCUGGGUUCAGACCGUUCAGAGCAUGAGCGACGGAUGUCGCAGCUCGUGAAUUGAACGGUCUGAAUCAAUCGAACUGUUAAAAUUUUCAUCUAUUAAAUGAUCUACAGCAUUGCACACAAAAUAUGCUGAGGAUAAACCAAUCACAACAUGGCGGUCACUCAUAGCAAUAUGGGAUGAUUCCGUUGACUUAUUUCGGUGGAACCCUACUUUGCUUAGAGAGGGCAAUACCGAGGGAACUGCGCGUGGUAAAAACAGAGCGCGGGCCCGUAGAGACUAAACGUCAACAUUCCGAGCGAUCGGAAUAAGCUAUAGUCCAAUGCACACAGUAAUGUGUGGGAACAUGCGUGAGACAGGUUGGUCUCCUAUCUACUGCAGGCGUUGAUUCUUGAGGAGGUUUGCUUCUAGUACGAGAGGACCGAAGUGAACGGACCGCUGGUCUAUCUGCUGUCGUGCCAACGGCAACGCAGAGUAGCUAUGUCCGGAACGGAUAACCGCUGAAAGCAUCUAAGCGGGAAGCCGUCUCCAAGAUAAGGAAUCGUUGAGGGCCCUAGUAGACUACUAGGUUGAUAGGCCUUAGGUGUACGCACAGCGAUGUGUUGAGCCGAGAGGUACUAAUUGCCCGAUCCUAUUAGGAAA
This 4101-nucleotide ribosomal RNA is filed under the name Patescibacteria group bacterium. RNAcentral describes it as "23S ribosomal RNA". The stretch from base 5 to 2891 matches the Rfam family "Bacterial large subunit ribosomal RNA". The record is from RNAcentral.